GGCGCAUUAGGAGGCGCUAGUAUAAAUAGUGGCCGUCUGAGCAUCCCCGAAUCAUGUACCUGUUGUCUCCUUUCGGUCACCUGACUUCCCCCGGUGUUGCAGAGAUCACCCGUGGAUUACCUUCCUGAAGCCUCCAUCGUGGCUGCUGCAGAAGCCUCCUAUGAGCCACUCUGUUCAUAAAUCGAGUGACGCCGUUUAAUUGGAAGUGUGGGCCUUAGUGGGCAGCCAGUAGCUUUACAGCAGGGUUGCUAUGGCUUUUCUAUGCUCUGCUAACAGAAGUGCUGCUGCUUUGCCUUUCCCCAUCUGCUUCCGUUUGCAAGGGGUCUUUUUCUCUGCUGUUACCAGCCUCUUAGCAAUGGACGUCGGCAUGGACUAGUGAUGGGAUUUCCGGCUCGUUUUAGAGAACCGGCUCUUCAGCAUGUCUUUAUCCUGUCUUCCUUCUCUCACCCCAACCGGUCGCAGCAGAUGGCCCCGCCCCUCCCUGAGCCUGGUUCUGCCGGAGGUUUCUUCCUGUUAAAAGGGAGUUUUUCCUUCCCAC
Astatotilapia calliptera (eastern happy) is the source of this 538-nucleotide long non-coding RNA. The record is from Ensembl. NCBI's taxonomy places the organism in Eukaryota, Metazoa, Chordata, Actinopteri, Cichliformes, Cichlidae.